AAAUUCUUAGAUGUUUUUAUGGGACGAGAAGACCCUAUAGAGUUUUACAUUUGUUUCUUCUUUUAUUUUUAUUUGUUUGUUUUUAUUGUAGAGUGGUUUAAGUGUUUUGUUGGGGUGAUGGGAGGAAUUUUUUUAACUCCUCUUUGUUUUUAUAUACUUAUUUGUAUUUUUUUGAUCCAUUUGUUUUGAUUAUAAGAUUAAAUUACCUUAGGGAUAACAGCGUUAUCUUCCUUGAGAGUUCUUAUUGGCGGGAAGGUUUGCGACCUCGAUGUUGGAUUAAGAUUAAUUUUCGGUGCAGAAGCUGAAACUGAUUAGGUCUGUUCGACCUUUAAAAUCUUACAUGAUCUGAGUUCAGACCGGCGUGAGCCAGGUUGGUUUCUAUCUAUAAAUUUUUGUUAUAUCUUAGUACGAGAGGACCGGAUGU
Molecule: ribosomal RNA, 424 nt
Filed under: Pericapritermes nitobei
Lineage: Eukaryota; Metazoa; Arthropoda; Insecta; Blattodea; Termitidae
Description: partial 16S ribosomal RNA
Rfam family: Bacterial large subunit ribosomal RNA
Source: RNAcentral